UGUUCCCUACGGGACGCAGCAGUGAGGAAUAUUGGUCAAUGGCCGCAGGGCUGAACCAGCCACGUCGCGUGAGGGAUGACGGUCCUAUGGAUUGUAAACCUCUUUUGUCAGGGAGCAAAGGGCGCCACGUGUGGCGUUUUGCGAGUACCUGAAGAAAAAGCAUCGGCUAACUCCGUGCCAGCAGCCGCGGUAAUACGGAGGAUGCGAGCGUUAUCCGGAUUUAUUGGGUUUAAAGGGUGCGCAGGCGGAUUUUUAAGUCAGCGGUCAAAUCGUGGGGCUCAACCCCAUCCAGCCGUUGAAACUGG
RNAcentral lists this ribosomal RNA (305 nucleotides) under uncultured bacterium. Its description in RNAcentral is "bacterial SSU rRNA". It matches the Rfam family "Bacterial small subunit ribosomal RNA", at positions 333 to 636 of the family's 1533-position model. The record is from RNAcentral.